CUUCAUUUGAAAUCUUAUGUUUCUGCAACUAUAACUACGGAGGAAGGAGAAGAACAAGAAAACAUAGGAUGUUAAGGUACACGUGAGAUUUGAGCGCGUGAUGUUUGGGAAUCUGGAAUAGUAGCAGAUUUAACCACCGAAGCAGUCAGACAAGUCACAAAUCACUCUUCUUGUAAGUAAAUAACAAAUACUAUAUGAUAGAUGUUUGUUGUACUGCAAUAUGACCGGGAUACGUAUAAUACUUUUUUCUUAACAAAGGGAUACGUAUAAUACUACUACUAGUCGACAAAAAAAAAACUGUUACUACUUGUCUACAUCCAAGUUACAUUUAUUUUUCCCUCGAGCUUAAUUCCCUUACACAAAUGUAGGGUCUAUUUUGAGAUUUGGUUUGUAUAGAAACUACAAUAUCUUAAUUUCUGGUUUAGAGCAUCUCUCAAAACAAUUUCAAUUUAAAUUGGCAAAACUUUAAAUUUUGAAGUGUGAGGGUAUUUUUCUACAAAAUAAAAAGUUCAAAAUUAUUUUAUAAACUUUAUAUUUUACACAAUAAUCUUUUUAUUUAUAAUAAAAAUCACAAAAUUUUAUCUAAUGAUAGAAUAUAUAAUAAGCAUAUUACAAAUUAUUCAAUUAAUGAAAUAUUGCAUUGUAUAAAAAAUUAUAAAAAAAAUUAGACUAAAAUUUAAAUUUUAAGAACGAAAAUGAUAACUAUAAAAGUGAUAAAAUUAUAUGAAAUUGUAUCAAAUUGUAUAAAAAUAAAAUUUAUAAUGACUAAAAAUGAUAAGUAUUAAAUUUAACAAGAUUAUUAUAAAGACUAAAAUUUCAAAAAUUGUAUAAGAUACAAAAUUAAAAUGAUAACUAAAAAAGUUAACAAAAUUAUUUGAAAAAUAAAUUAUUAAAAAAGUUAUAUGAAACUUCAAAUGUGAGGUUUUGUACAAUAUAACUUACAAAUAUGAAAUUUCACUAUAUAAAAUUUAAAAUUUAAAGUUUUGAAAUUAUUUUUGGAGCAUGUAAAACUUAGGUUUGAAAUUAAUUUUGAAAAUAAUCUUAGAGCAAAUUAAUAUUUUAUUUCAUUUACAAGAGAAUUACAAUCUACAUAAUCUGCUUAGUAGAGAAAGAAAAAUCCAAAUAUCCCAAUUUAGAUUUGUGUUUACGUUAUAUGGAUUUGUUAUUCAAGAUAUCUAAAUCCGGAUUUAUUUUUGACGAAUCUAAAUUUUACUUUUAGAUUUAAGUACUCUUUCGAAUAUCGCAACUUUUAAAAUAGAUCCUGAACGAAUUUCGGGACUGAUCCAGAUCUCAUACAAUAAUUCCAUCCCUAUUGUUUUGUACAUAAUUUUAUUUUUUAUACUAAAGGGUUGGAUUUGGAUGUAUACAAGAUAUACUCCAUUUUAUAUUUGUGUUAUAAUAGAAAAGAAAAUGGUGGAUACAAAAUUUUAUAACGUGGUGGAUGAUGAUGAAUCCGUGAGAAUUAUCGAGCAAACUUGUCGUCAUAUAUGUAUGGGAAAGCAUGCGUACUACGUAUUGGUUUACAGUAUUUGACACUAAACUAUUUUUUGGUGUAUAUCUAUUUUUCUUAUACUAUUAUUGUAUUUUGUAUAAAACUGAAACUGUAUCUACUUUAUGUUAAAACGAAAAGAGAUAUAGAUGCAAGGAGAGUAAGGUCGGUGAAAUGAGAAAGGCCCACAAGCAGCCACAAAAAGGGCGACUCUAUGAUAGAUAAUGGAACCCAAUGCAAAAGUUCACUCCUUUCUUCCCUCAUUUUAUCACAAUUUCUUACACUAAAGUACGUUUUCGUUCGACCAAAAAAUUUACGUUUUUCUUUCUUUAAUUUCUAUCAGCCAACAAAGUUUUUGUCUUUAUAAUAUUCGCUCUCUCUUUUAAAAUAUUUCUUUUACUCAAACGUUUAUAUAAACCAUAUAAAUUUCACUCGUUUUAUAAAUUUCACUCCUUUUAUUAUAGUGCUCCAAGUCAUCAGUUGAGGAUUAACUAAGGCUUAUAGUUCAAAAAAAAAAACUAAGGCUUAUUAUAUUUUCUUAACGACCUUAUAUUUUCUUAUAAUUUAUGAAAACCUGACUUAUAAAAAUCACUCAUUUAUUAAAUAUAUUUAUUGUUAAAUAAUCACAAUAAAAGAAAAUAUGGUGGAGAUGAAAAAUGAUUCCCACCACAACAUGGGUCGUUCUCAAUUCUUUAUGUCACAAAAAAUUGUCAUAUUGUGGCGUUUGGGCUCUACUUUGAAAGAGAGUGAACAUUUAUCUCCCAUCACUUGUACAUGAUAUUCCCAUUGGAUAAAGUGUUUGUAGCUUCCAAUUUCCUAAACCUAUAAUGCAACUUUACCAACUCCAACUACACAUAUAUAGUCUUCUUUUCCUUUAAUAUAUUUUCACAUCAUGUACUUGGGUUUUUCCUUCUUUGAUUAAGUGAAUCCACCACCCUUGUUAAGAUUUUCAUUCAUAACAAUAAUAGUAUCUAUGCCAUAAGCUCAUCGUAUAACUUAUAAACUUUUAACACAUGUUUCCACCAAAAUACGAAUUUACAACAACGAUAUAGUAUAAAAUCCAAUGCAAAAAUAGUAUACAGAAUCUAUAGAUGAGUGGGAGUUUAACAGUAUGAUACACACAAGUGGAAUACAAGCAAGAUUUUAAGAAACAUGAAUUGGAAAUAAGCUGUUAUCGUCACUAUAUUUUAUAAACAUUUAUCACAUAUAUCAUGAUUAUUGGGGGGGGGGGGGGGUGAUUAUAGCGGUUUCAUAUUGUCUAUUGAUCAAUACGAUGGAAGAUGCGAGAUAAAAUUGAAUAUAUAAAGAAAUGCGGAAAGAGAUUGAUUGAAUUUUUGUUUGUUUAAGGCAGUGGCCAGCUCUUAUAGCUUUGCAACAAAUUUUUUUUGACUUAACCCCUCACACUAUUGCCUUGUUCAUCCCCACACAUUAUUAUAUAUAUAAAGAAAGAUAUAUUCUUUAUAUAAAUUAUUCAGGGUCGCAUAUUUAUUGCUUUCCAAAGAGUUCUAUUCUCAUACGGUUCAAAAUCUAGUACCACAUUAAAGCAACACUAUUUGUGUAUAGUCUACUUAGCAUGCUUAUCAAAUAAAAGGGAAGAAACGAAAGAAUGGUGAGUCCACAUUUUAUUAAUAUCAUAUAGUGAUAAUAUUUUGCAACUUAAGAAAUAAAAAUAGAGCACAGAGCAUGUUUGUGUAUUAAGACAGGAUAAAAAAAAUAGUUUGUUUGCAGUAACUAUAAGAAUAUGCUACACUGUUUUAUUGCUUAAGAACUCUCAUAGAAUGAAAAUAUAUUGGAUAACCACUUUCUACUAUUCUAUUGGAGUGACGAGGAUGUGGUCCAGUGAAGAUGAUGAUAAAAUUAGUGAGUAGAAACGACUACUUAUAAAAAUAUUAAAAGCUUAAUCCAUAGAUGGAAAUGAUUAGUUAUAUAACAGAACUAUUGUGUGAAGUGGGAAUUGAUGGGGUUUUGUUGUUGUCUUGUUGGAGGAAUGACCCAAUUUCCCAUAGUGAUUUAUAGUAGUUUAUUAAUUUUGUUAUAUUAACAGAACGUGAUAUGUGCAUCUUUUCUUGCUUUCACCUUCUUUACAUGAUCUCAUCAUGCCAAGUAGAGCGGCCUCUGCUCCAAUCAAUUGCAACCACUUGUCGUUGUGUUCUACUGUAUUCCUACUUGGGUUUCCACCACGUUGCACAGCCAACGUUUUGAAAAAUAUAAACAACUAUUCGAACUCAAACUCAUCCAACUUUUUUUUUUUUUUGAAUUACAAACUCAUGCAACUUGCUCAAUGUCUUUUGUAUAUUAUUUUGUCACAUUUUAUUUAAAAUAUUAGGUCUCUAAGAUUAAUACAUGUACAUCCAUAUAUAUAUAUUAUUUGUAUUUUUUUUGAUAAGUAUAUUAUUUGUAUUUAUAAUUUUUUGAAUAGUAACACAAUGAUAACUAUUGCAAACUAGUAUUAGGUGAUUAUGCAAAGAUCAUAUUUACGUCUUCUGAAUAGAUGAUAAUCACAUUACGUUGAGUUUUAUUUCUAUAUAUCGAAAGCAUACGGAAUUGGAUGAUUACGAAUCUCCACUAGUUAUUAUAUAUGUCGCACAAAUCUCCUAUAUAUUAAUUGAAAAUCAUUUAAAAAUUAUAAUUUUAAGUUUGUAUUAACUAAAAAGAAAUCAUGCUUAGGUGUUGCUAAAUUAGGAUGACAAUUUAGGUUACGUGGCAGCUUAAGAAUCAAUUGAAAAAAAUGUUAGUUCAAAUUCAAUUAAUAGGGAACAUUAUAUUAACCAAAAAUAUAUAUAAGAAGCAUGUAUUCUUUCCUUAAAUAAAAAUUACAUAAUUAUCUAAUAUGAUUAACAUAUAUAUGAUAAUUAAUGACUAUGAAUAAUAAAGAUUUGACAAUAAUUUUUUGCAUUCUUUUUUAUUUUUGUUUAAUUUUAUAUUAUUAAAAAAAAUAAACAAUCAUAUUUACCAUAUAAUAAAAAUAUAUUUUUCUUAUAUGUUAUAUUUUGAAUUUUUAAAAAUGACUUUAAAUUACAAAAAUGAAGAAACCUUAUAUGUUAUAUUUUAAAUUUUUCAAAACGACUUUAAAUCAUAAAAAUGAGGAAACCUUAUAUGUUAUAUUUUUUCUUAUAUGUUAUAUUUAAAAAAAUUAAAACGACUUUAAAUUACCAAAAUUGUAAAUUUUCCUUAAGCAUACGACUAAAAGCAUUAAAAUGAUAUGUAUCAAUUUGAUGGUUGAUUUGAAACCUUUCAAAACCAUAUGGAAGAUAAAUGUCAAAAUAAUUCAACUGUGGAAGCAGUACUGUUCAUUUUUUUUCAAGAAUGUGUUCGGUGAAAAAAAAUAAGGUUUUUGUGUCAGAAUUUGUUUAAUGUUCAAUCCGAUCAACCCAUGAUAUAGUUUAGUUCUGCAAUUUUUAAUAAAUAUUGAUCCGGUCAAUCGGAAAGAAAUUAUAUAAUAAUAACAAAAAAUUUGUAUAUGUAUGAAAAUGAUAAAAUAUAUU
Brassica rapa (field mustard) is the source of this 4974-nucleotide long non-coding RNA. RefSeq lists it as uncharacterized. Lineage: Eukaryota; Viridiplantae; Streptophyta; Magnoliopsida; Brassicales; Brassicaceae. The record is from RefSeq and is a predicted model, not a curated record.